This is a long non-coding RNA of Zootermopsis nevadensis, 1297 nucleotides long. RefSeq lists it as uncharacterized. Lineage: Eukaryota; Metazoa; Arthropoda; Insecta; Blattodea; Termopsidae. The record is from RefSeq and is a predicted model, not a curated record.
GUAGCAUUGUGUGAUGUGGUAGAAGUUUACCGACAUUUCAGAGGCACCUUACAUGUCAUGACCUAUUCAAUGGCAUCUAUAGGGUGGAUGGGAAUUCAGUAGGCAUUGAGAAAUGGUUAUAACCUCUAUAUUUCCAAUGUAUAGCAAUUAUUUAAUGCCUACUUACUUCCCACCCACUCUGUAGAACAGGGAAAUUGUUUGCAUUGGCACUGUUAAGAAUAACAGAAAUAAUACCCCUAAUUUUGGUCCCAGGGCCCUCAAAAUUAAGAAAGGGUAUAUUGUGAGUGCAGUUCAUGGCAACUUCACACCAGUGUAUUAGUAAUACAGCAUUCAUCUAUGUGCAGCUGAAAGGAAUUUUUGGGAUCAAUAGGGAGUACUCUGAAAUCCAAAGUAGUUCAAAACUAUGAUAAACACACAUAGGCAAUGUCAAUAAACGUGACAGGAUGGCUAAGAGUUAUGGUAAUAAGUCAAAAGUAAGAAACCAAAAUGAAAUCAGAAGCAGUUCCACUCCUCAUGUAGUAGACUCUCUGAACCUCCUCCAUGACACUUGAGUGAAGGCCACCCUUGUUGCUAGGCAACUGUUUAUGCCAGUUAUGGAAAAGUUGUGCAGGUGCAAACAUGGUGUAUUAAUGAGCAUGUCAUAUGUUUGUUCUUGAACAUUACUUUGCAUCAGAAUUGUUUACUGCUGUUUGUGAAGCAUUUAGUGAUGCAUGUGCUGCAACGACUUACCAAAUAAGAUGAUAACAUACUGAACAGAAACAAUUUUGUGACAAGCUAUGUUUAUCAGAUGGAGAAGAAACGUUUACAUGAAACAUUCACAUUUCCAACCAGAUACAUUAAUAAAAUUACAAUAUUUUCAAAGUAUGAAGUUAACAAUAGCAGACAAUAUAAUUAGAAGUUUCUUGUGGACACAUGAAGCGUAGGGUGUUCUGGACAGUGCAAGCCAUAUGGGCAUGGGCAUUGUCAUGCAACGUGAUGUUACCCCUUGUGGCAUUGAUGGCGAUGUCAGGGUCAUUGAACACCAACAUCAGUGGUUGUAUAUUAAUGCAAAGAAAAACAGUCCUGAUUCUGCACCUCGAAUGCUGGCAUUGAACUACAUCACAUUGGUCUCAUUUGCUGUAACAUACCUGCUCUAUUGCAGAUGCUGGUAUGUCAUGCACACAACCAUAUGAUCACAAAGUGAUUGGCUGUAUUUGCUAGAAGGCUGUGAUCAUUUUUUCAUUUGAACCCUCUUAUAUCAGUUGUCUUGUGAAAUGUAAGAAUUUAUGUUGUUAAUUAUAUCAAACAUAAUUAAUGA